UGGGGAAUUUUGCACAAUGGGGGAAACCCUGAUGCAGCGACGCCGCGUGAUUUAGAAGGCCUUCGGGUUGUAAAAAUCUUUUGUAUGGGAAGAAAAUGACAGUACCAUACGAAUAAGGACCGGCUAAUUACGUGCCAGCAGCCGCGGUAAUACGUAAGGUCCGAGCGUUGUCCGGAAUCAUUGGGCGUAAAGGGUACGUAGGCGGAUAAGCAAGUUAGAAGUGAAAUCCUAUAGCUCAACUAUAGUAAGCUUUUAAAACUGCUCAUCUUGAGGUAUGGAAGGGAAAGUGGAAUUCCUAGUGUAGCGGUGAAAUGCGCAGAUAUUAGGAAGAAUACCGGUGGCGAAGGCGACUUUCUGGUCAUCAUCUGACGCUGAGGUACGAAAGCGUGGGUAGCAAACAGG
RNAcentral lists this ribosomal RNA (402 nucleotides) under Verrucomicrobiota bacterium. RNAcentral's name for it is "Verrucomicrobia bacterium partial 16S ribosomal RNA". It matches the Rfam family "Bacterial small subunit ribosomal RNA", at positions 355 to 776 of the family's 1533-position model. Lineage: Bacteria; Pseudomonadati; Verrucomicrobiota. The record is from RNAcentral.